Molecule: long non-coding RNA, 787 nt
Organism: Poecilia latipinna (sailfin molly)
Lineage: Eukaryota; Metazoa; Chordata; Actinopteri; Cyprinodontiformes; Poeciliidae
Exons: 3
Source: RefSeq, a predicted model, not a curated record
ACAAGGGACAUUGAUUUCAGGCUAUUUGUGCCACACCAGAGAGAUGCCUGUUGAUUUUUCGUGCUAGCCCCUCUAAUCAGGCACUGAUUUACAACCAGGAUGCAAAGUGAAUGUAAUUACCAGCAUUUAACCACCAGGAAUUGAAUAGAUUCAACUAAAUGUGGAUUUAGUGACGGCUGCUAAUGAUCCUGUGAACCUCUGGAGACGAUGGUGUACUGAUGGAGGUCGUCAGGUGCGUGCAGUUACGGAGAGCCACGGGGUGGUGGCGCUGGAGGGCUUGUGUCAGCGGAGCGGAGUGAAAGGGGAGGAGCAGCAUCGGGAGUAAAGUGGCCACACGGUGAGUCUGCCAGUCCGUCCGAGCGAGUCGCUCACAGCGCAGAUCCGCCGCUGCCGCGCACCGAGCGCACAGAGACGCGUCUAUCCAGUCCCGUCCUCUGUCCACACUGAAGUGACGAGCCUGGGCCGAGCACCGAGGGGGUCUACUCGCAGAGCAGCGCACGGCCACCACACAGUGUUGCUCCACUGGCUGUAAAAUGCAACUGCGGUCUUUGCGGGAUAAAGACAGCGCUCACGCAUAAACCAUCGCCGUAGCGAAACAAGGACAAACGCCCGGAGGAGGAGGGACAGGAGCGGCGAGCGGCAGCAGAGGUGAGACGACAAUACUCCAAAGGUCCAAUUUGUCUGUGAUGAGCAUCCCCAUCCACCAGAGACCAAAGGUACGGUAAGAUACGAAAAGCUCAUUAUCUGAUGUACUAACAAACAUCCUAAUAUUAGACAGACGAGCUAC